AUUGAACGCUGGCGGCAUGCUUUACACAUGCAAGUCGAACGGUAACAGGGUGCUUGCACCGCUGACGAGUGGCGAACGGGUGAGUAAUGCGUCGGAACGUGCCGAGUAGUGGGGGAUAACGCAUCGAAAGGUGUGCUAAUACCGCAUACGUACUGAGGUAGAAAGUGGGGGACCUUCGGGCCUCACGCUAUUCGAGCGGCCGACGUCUGAUUAGCUAGUUGGUGAGGUAAAGGCUCACCAAGGCGACGAUCAGUAGCGGGUCUGAGAGGAUGAUCCGCCACACUGGGACUGAGACACGGCCCAGACUCCUCCGGGAGACAGCAGUGGGGAAUUUUGGACAAUGGGCGCAAGCCUGAUCCAGCCAUGCCGCGUGUCUGAAGAAGGCCUUCGGGUUGUAAAGGACUUUUGUCCGGGAGCAAAUACCCAGUGCUAAUAACGCUGGGGGCUGAGAGUACCGGAAGAAUAAGCACCGGCUAACUACGUGCCAGCCGCCGCCGUAA
RNAcentral lists this ribosomal RNA (500 nucleotides) under uncultured bacterium. RNAcentral describes it as "partial 16S ribosomal RNA". It matches the Rfam family "Bacterial small subunit ribosomal RNA", at positions 30 to 523 of the family's 1533-position model. The record is from RNAcentral.